GGAAUCAGCAUCGGCUAACUCCGUGCCAGCAGCCGCGGUAAGACGGAGGAUGCAAGCGUUAUCCGGAAUGAUUGGGCGUAAAGCGUCCGCAGGUGGCAGUUCAAGUCUGCUGUCAAAGACCGGGGCUUAACUUCGGAAAGGCAGUGGAAACUGAACAGCUAGAGUAUGGUAGGGGCAGAGGGAAUUCCUGGUGUAGCGGUGAAAUGCGUAGAGAUCAGGAGGAACACCAGUGGCGAAGGCGGCCUGCUGGACAGCAACUGACGCUGAGGCGCGAAAGCGGUGGGGAGACAAACAGGAUUAGAUACCCUGGUAGUCCACGCUAGUAAACGAUGGAUACUAGGUGUGGGGGGACUGACCCCCUCCGUGCCGCAGUUAACACAAUAAGUAUCCCACCUGGGGAGUACGAUCGCAAGGUUGAAACUCAAAGGAAUUGACGGGGGCCCGCACAAGCGGUGGAGUAUGUGGUUUAAUUCGAAGCAACGCGAAGAACCUUACCAGGGC
Molecule: ribosomal RNA, 501 nt
Filed under: uncultured Microcoleus sp.
Lineage: Bacteria; Bacillati; Cyanobacteriota; Cyanophyceae; Oscillatoriales; Microcoleaceae
Description: bacterial SSU rRNA
Rfam family: Bacterial small subunit ribosomal RNA
Source: RNAcentral